This 404-nucleotide long non-coding RNA is filed under the name Gallus gallus (chicken). The record is from RNAcentral. Lineage: Eukaryota; Metazoa; Chordata; Aves; Galliformes; Phasianidae.
CAAAACAAAGCUGCUAACACCUCAAGAAUUCUGAUUUUGGCUUGUAGCUUAGUCUUGCAAUGAGAAAUUUAAUGGCAGAUAACCUUUUCCUCUUACAGACUGACAGCACUGGAGAUGUAACUAGAAUCUUUCAGUUGUCAGCAAACUGUUUUGGUGUAUUUUGUUUUCUUGUCAAUAUACAUAUAGCUGCCAAUGUAAUGAUUUGGGGAGAUGCAAAAACUCACUGAAGAUUUAUCCUUCACACUAGAAUUUAUUUUCCAUACCAAGGAAGCAAAUGGUGAGACAGUCGAGGGCAAGAAGAUUGGUGUUUGUGAAGAAGCAUAAGAAUGAUCCUGUCCAUUUGUGAAGUCUAAAACUCUUCAGGAGCUGUGGUCAUACACCACAGUGGCCACUGUGCAUAGAGC